Non-coding RNA from Hordeum vulgare subsp. vulgare (domesticated barley), 124 nucleotides. NCBI's taxonomy places the organism in Eukaryota, Viridiplantae, Streptophyta, Magnoliopsida, Poales, Poaceae. The record is from Rfam.
AGAAUACUCCCUUCGUCUGGAAAUACUUGUCCUAGAAAUAAAUAAAAUGGAUGUAUCUGUAACUAAAAUAUGUCUAGAAACAUGCAUUUUUAGGACAAGUAUUUCCGGACGGAGGGAGUAUGAC